Triticum aestivum (bread wheat) is the source of this 135-nucleotide non-coding RNA. NCBI's taxonomy places the organism in Eukaryota, Viridiplantae, Streptophyta, Magnoliopsida, Poales, Poaceae. The record is from Rfam.
UCAGUACUCCCUCUGUCCGGAAAUACUUGUCAUCAAAAUGGAUAAAAGGGAAUGUAUCUAGACAUAUUUUAGUUCUAGAUACAUCUCUUUUUAUACAUUUUGAUGACAAGUAUUUUGGGACGGAGGAAGUAGUUU